RNAcentral lists this transfer RNA (64 nucleotides) under Hanleyella oldroydi. RNAcentral describes it as "tRNA-Phe". Lineage: Eukaryota; Metazoa; Mollusca; Polyplacophora; Lepidopleurida; Lepidopleuridae. The record is from RNAcentral.
GAUCAAAUAGUUUAUAUAGAACUUAGCACUGAAGAUGCUUCAGAGGCAUCGACGCCUUUGAUCA